CAUUUUGGCGUGGGCGCAAGCCUGACCGCCUGCCGCGUGAGUGACGAAGGCCUUAGGGUUGUAAAGCUCUUUUGGCGGGGAAGAUAAUGACGGUACCCGCAGAAUAAGCUCCGGCUAACUUCGUGCCAGCAGCCGCGGUAAUACGAAGGGAGCUAGCGUUGUUCGGAAUCACUGGGCGUAAAGCGCACGUAGGCGGAUGUGUCAGUCAGGGGUGAAAUCCCGGAGCUCAACUUCGGAACUGCCCUUGAUACAGCACGUCUCGAGUCCGAGAGAGGUGAGUGGAAUUCCUAGUGUAGAGGUGAAAUUCGUAGAUAUUAGGAAGAACGGCAGUGGCGAAGGCGGCUCACUGGCUCGGUACUGACGCUGAGGUGCGAAAG
RNAcentral lists this ribosomal RNA (377 nucleotides) under uncultured bacterium. RNAcentral describes it as "bacterial SSU rRNA". It matches the Rfam family "Bacterial small subunit ribosomal RNA", at positions 359 to 759 of the family's 1533-position model. The record is from RNAcentral.